RNAcentral lists this ribosomal RNA (208 nucleotides) under Vibrio cholerae. RNAcentral describes it as "partial 16S ribosomal RNA". It matches the Rfam family "Bacterial small subunit ribosomal RNA", at positions 1 to 213 of the family's 1533-position model. The record is from RNAcentral. Lineage: Bacteria; Pseudomonadati; Pseudomonadota; Gammaproteobacteria; Vibrionales; Vibrionaceae.
UAAUUGAAGAGUUUGAUCAUGGCUCAGAUUGAACGCUGGCGGCAGGCCUAACACAUGCAAGUCGAGCGGCAGCACAGAGGAACUUGUUCCUUGGGUGGCGAGCGGCGGACGGGUGAGUAAUGCCUGGGAAAUUGCCCGGUAGAGGGGGAUAACCAUUGGAAACGAUGGCUAAUACCGCAUAACCUCGCAAGAGCAAAGCAGGGGACCU